Molecule: long non-coding RNA, 5633 nt
Filed under: Solanum lycopersicum (tomato)
Lineage: Eukaryota; Viridiplantae; Streptophyta; Magnoliopsida; Solanales; Solanaceae
Description: long non-coding RNA (SLYC_LNC000791)
Source: RNAcentral
AUCUCGAAACACAAAUUAAAAAUUAAAUUAACAACAAUAUAUGUAAUUUUAUACUUGCGACUGUCACAUCUAUUUAACUAUAUAAAUGAAAUUAAAGCUCUGAUAUAAUUUAUAUAUUACAAAUUCAGGCUCAUAUUUUAUAGAUUAAUUCCUAAAUAUCAGAUCUUUUUUUGCUGAAGAAAACCCGUAAUGACAAAGAAGGAUAGUUCAAACUCAUGUGGCUUGAAAAAACAAAUAUAGCCAUAAAUAUUGAACCAACAUGAAGACAUGUACAUCAGAAAGUUCAACUAGAUGGAGAACCCCAUGAGUGGAGCAAAUUUGGUAAAUAUCUCAACUUCCUUCUCUGUUGAUUUUGUUUCUUAAGUUUUUAUCAACAACUUUCGGAGUUAGACAUCUAUAUUUCGUCAUCUUUGAAAGAUGGUCCAUCAUAGUUCUUUGUUUUAUUUUUGCUUUAACUAUCUUUUUGUUGGUUCUGUUGGAAACUUUGGGUAACGGCCUGCUUGACGUGAUUGCAAGAAAAUUGGAAGAAGAAAAUUUGAAUUUUGAUUAUUGAGAGAGAAAUUUUGAAUUUUUAUUUGAUUGAAUCUAUUAAGAUUUGGAAGAUAUUGAAAUCAACUAGAUUAGCGUGAUUUGGAGAACUCAUAUUUAAUUGAGUAUUCUCUUUCCUUUGAAAGUGUAACUCAUUUUGUUUUAAUAUAUCAGAUUUAAUGUAUCUGGCUUCUUUGCUAUGUAUCCGAAUAACAUUGAAUGUGAGAGAUUUUUGUAAAUUAAAAAAGAGUAGGGAUAAAAUAUAAUUUAUGUUCUUAUACUAUGUGAUUUAUGUAAGUUAUACCAAUAAAGAAAAUGAUUACCAAUAAGAUUAAUGGCUAAUUAAGAUGAAUGAUGUCUAAAUAACAAAUAUGUUACAAUUAGGAAAGUAAUGAUAUAUACAAUAUGUUAGGAGAAAGGUCAAAUAAGACUAAUAAGGACAUUCAAUAGUCAUUAAUAAUAUGUUAGAAUAAUUAACUUAUACUGAAAUGAAUUUAUGCAAUGAUAUAAACUUUUGUUGAGAUGCUAACAUAUUUUUCCAACAAAGUAACCAUAGUUCAUUUUUUUUAAAAAAUAAAAAUAAAAGGAAAAAAGCAAAUAUCUCCAUUGAUUUAUCAAUUUAUAUAUAUAUAUAUAUAUAUAUAUAUAUAUAUUACAGAAUUGAACCCUAAUAUUUAUUUUGUGACAUAGAACACUUCUACUACUAGAUCUUACAAACUCUUCAAUAAUAUUCUUUAUAAUCCACCAAUUUUUCUAAAUAAAUAAUCAAUUGGGAAUCUGUUAGUUUCACUAAAAAAACAAAAUGAAUACUUAUUCUUUCCAUUUCCUUAAAAAUAAAACUAAUUGAUAGAGAGGACUCGUGGGUUCUUAUUGUUUUUUAUUUUUUUAGCAUUGGAUUCAAUCUUAAUGAAAACAAAUAGUUCGUGGCAGAUACACAUUUGUUUGUAACAUAAAUUAGAUAUGUUUUGGAACUUAGAUUAAAUAGAGAAAAAAAUAUCUAAUUAAUAUAGGAGAUCGAUGAAAAAGAUCAUUUUUUACGACUCCUUUCCUAGAAAACUAAAUAUCAUUUUAAUUUUAUUAAUUUUUCUAUAAUUGAACAAUUACUUACAAAAUUAAUAUGCGAUUGUGGAGCAUUUUAAUUCAUAGUUUAGUUAUAGUAUCGCUUCCCAACUAUUUAUAUUUUCUUAUUUAUAAGUGGAAUCAGGUAGUGAGCUCUGUGAAAUUUUCAUUUUGUGAAAGACGCAAUAUUAUACUUUCUUCAUUUCUUAGAUAUUUAGCUUUUUUAAUAUACUCCAAAAUGAGUGUCUCUUGUAAAAUAUCAAGAAGAUACUAUUUUUGUUUUUUUCUUCAAAGUUAAUCUUACCUAAAAUGCGCAAGAUUAGUUUUUUAAAUAAAUAUAGAACUUUGAAAUAUGGGAGACAGUUGUAUCAUAGUUGACAAUAGUUGAAACAUCUAUUGUGAUCCUGAAAAAAUCUUGUGUAGAUAGCAUUAUAUACACCACCGACAAAUAAUAAAAAAAUUUCCUAUAUAAUGUUGAUGUUUUUUGGUUGCAUUUAAAGACACACUUAAGAGUACGUGGUUGUUAAUUAACUAAAUUAUAUGUCCUAGUUGUUGAUACAUAGGAUUGAUAAUAUGAUUAUGGUUUACCGGACCUUUAACUUUUUAUUAAAAUGAGAGAUCUAACUAUAUUGCUGAAGUGAGAUAGGUCAAUCAAUCACAACAUAUAAAGUUAUCUUUCUGUAUUUGAACCAACUAAGACAAUGUAGGUACAUCAAUAUCCUAGAAGCGAAUCUAUCCCUAUUCUAGUUGGAACUGAGAAAUUAGAACACAUUCCUUAUGCUAUAUGUUUCAACAAAAGGCUCUGUCAUCCGAGUUCAUAAAAGGUUUAUACAUGAACUUUCGUGAUAAUUAAGCAUUAAAGUAACAAGAGAAACAACGUAAAAGACACCAAUAAUGAUAAACGUACAGUAACCAACACAAAAUAAUGUCAAUCAUGUUCUGUAACCUCAAUUCUAGAACGAGAGUUUCUAGCCGCUAAUCAAUCGAAUAGCGAUGGUAUGGAUUGAAGAAUUCGUACAAGAAUUAAACUAAUGAAAAGAGGAAAGAAAAACCUAUAGAAAGUGCCGCCAAAGUGGUCCAAGAUGUAACCCGAAUCGUCCAAGGUGUCACCUCCAAAGUAGGUCCAUUAAAAUAUGUAAAAAAAAAAAUUAAGAAUUCCAUAGUGUAAUUAUGAAAUAACAUCUUAUUUCUAUUUUUUUAUAGUUACAUUAAUCCCUUAAAUUAAAUUUUACACUUUCUAGAUACAUAUCUGACAAUUUGGAUAUGUUAAUUGUGAUAUAUUAUAUAUAUGCAACAAAACAGAAAAUCAAAUUAGAAUCCCAUAAUUUAUUUUGCUCAGUCCCUUCUUACAGUCAAACAGUUAAACAUAAAUCCUAGAAUAAAAAACCAAUUCAAAAUUUGAAAUCCCUAUUCAUCAUUAUGUCUCUGUUUCGACGAAGAAACUUUCAACUAGAAUUAAAAAUUUUGCCAAAAAUUUGAUAAGAUAAUGACUCUUUUGAUUUUGUAGAGGCAUUCAAAAAUAUGAGAAAGUGAGGUUAGUUAUGAACGAUACAGGAGUGAUGAGAUAGUAAUUCGAAAAAAUAUUUUAUUUUUAAAUCGGGGUUCAGCCUUUGCAGCUGGGUUGAAUAUUGAUGAAUUGACCAAAAAAAUCGAGACAUGACAUAUUGUAAAAGGUAAUUUUCUCCACUAAUUAUUAGGAAUGAUAUAUGGGGGUAAAAUUGUACGCGGAGGUUAAGAAAUGUAAGGUUGAAUUUGCUAUGUAUCCCCCUCUGUAUUGAUACUCCAGAUAAGAAUGUUGCCGAGAUACAAAACUUUGAUGCAUCAACUGGUGCAAUUGUAUGAGUUAAAAAGGACACAUAUGGCUAGAAUCAAAAAUUGGUGAUUCGUGUUAUAUACAAAAAAUAUAGAUAACAAAUUACAUAGCUGAUACAAAUAGUAUAGAAGUGAAGGUGGAACAAUUGUACAAGGAUAAACACUACUCCAGUGGUUGUAAUAACAAAACACAAAAUAGAACAUAACUUUAAUUUUCAAGUUACAAGAUCUGAUGAUAAAGACACAUAUUAUUGUGCUUUAAUCAUUUCAUUGGAAAAAUAACUUAAAUACACAACUAUAAUUUUUAUAUUCUCUAAUUUUUCCCACCUUUUUUAAAUAUUACAUAAUUUCCUUUUUUUUAAUUUUAGUGUAAGUUUUUAGAUACAUUACAUUCUCUCUCCUAUAAUACACAUUUACCCAUUUUAAUGCCUAUUUUUUCUCCAUUAAAACACUCAACCUCUUAAAUCAGUUUUUGAAUUUUGAAUUUUAUCCAUUUUAACACUCAACCUUUUAAAUCAGCUUUUUGAUUUUGAAUUAUUAAAUUUAAUUAAUUUUAAAUAAAAGACCAAAUUUUGAAAUUUUGAAUUUCAAAAUUCAAAAAAUUUGAAAUUUAAAAAAGUAAAAAUUUCAGGAAGCAGGACAACUUCUCUUAACUUCUACCGUUUUGUUCUCCAUCAAGUUUAAGUUCUUUUUGCAUGAUCCUAUGAAUCUUCAGAUGGAUUCAAACAAAGACUCUGGCUGUAAGAAGCUCAAUUAAUAGUCUCUUCGGCUUCUUUUCGUAAAGUUAACAUUUCCUUUUUGUUCUAUGUUAAGAUGUAAUCUGGAUUUGAUAAUAUUUCAUUCUUUUACAGAUCUGUACAAACUAGACGUGCUAAACUUGGAAGGGUCUGUUGUUACUGCGUCAUGUUUGGAUUACCUCACAGGUCUGCUUUUACUAUUUUAAUUUCCAUGUUAUCUUACUAGGCCUAGUUUGCGGGACAAACUUUAUGAAGUAAAAGAGAAUUUUUCGGGGAAUUACUUCUCUAUUCUGGGAUUCCAUCACGUUGUUGAAGUUUCUGAUAGUUCGUUUAUCCUAAUGCAGCUCUCACUUCAUUGAAGUCGCUAAACUGUCAAUAGAUCUCACCUUUUAGAUGAUGGAUGCGAGAAGUUUUUGGGUAAGUGGAAGACAUUUGUUAUCUGCCAAAAAGAACUGACUAAAGCAAAACCAUUCCACAUUGUUAGCCAACCGUUUUAUAUCUGCAGCACUCAGCAGUUUGAAAGAGUUAAAUCUGGGAUUUAACAAUAUCACGGAUACAUGAAUUUGUUGUGUAUCAUAAUAUUUUAUAUGUAUCAUGAGGUUUUUAAAAUUAUUAUAAUGUAUCAUUCAAUAAUGCGUCAUCAACUGGGCUUGAGGAUACAUAUAGAAUCAGUGCUUUAGUCAAUGCAUUGAUACAUGUAGUAGAUAUGUAUCACAUGUUUUGCAUGUAGUAUGAAUUCCUGAAAACUGAUAUCAUGUAUCAGUAAGGUAUUAGUUGUUUAGUUGAUGUACUGAUACAUGUUUUGAAAAUUGUUAUAAUGUAUCAUUCACUAAAUUUAAUAAAUGCGUCAUCAACUGUACUUGAUGAUACAUAGAGAAUCAGUGUGUAUAUUGUUUAGUAGAUGUUUCUGAUACAUGUAUUAGAUAUGUAUCACAUGUUAUAAUGUUUUAGUUAAUUCACUGAUACAUGUAGUAGACAUGUAUCACAUGUUUUUCAUGUAGUAUGAAUUUCUGAAAACUGAAACCAUGUAUCAGUAAGUUAUUAGUUGUUUUAUUUAGUAUUUAUAUUUCAAUAUCGUUAUAAUUUGUUGUUUUAAUUUCAAAUUGCAGCCAAUGAAGUACAAGAUUAAAAAGAUACCAAGACAUCCCAUAAUGUUUGUUGUCAAUUUUAACAACAAUUUCCUAAAGGAAAAGAAUGUGAUCAGAUUCCAGGGGGGAGGAGUAUCUUCAGCAGACUGAUUAUGCAAGGAAACUGUACUGCAUAUAAACACCAGAGGCAAAAGCAUCUUCAGCUUCCAAAGACCUUUACUUGCUUCAAAUUCAUACCCUUAGGUCUUGUAGUUAGAGAACUUAUUGUAUUGUCUUUUUAUUCACUAUGUAAGAUUGUUUCUCGUGUUUUGUAGUUGUAGCAUGUAUAGACUUUUUGUAAUUGAUAAGAGUAUAGAUAAUUAUCAUCUAUUUGUUUUGUAUUGAACACUAUUGGAUGAAUAGAGUGCAU